GGAACCCGCGCGGGCACUGGCUCCGUCUGCCAGGGAUGAUGGCGACCCCUGAGAGCCUCUUCCCCACUGGGGACGAAUUGGACUCCAGCCAGCUCCAGAUGGAGUCCGAUGAGGUGGACACCCUGAAGGAGGGAGAGGACCCAGCCGACCGGAUGCACCCGUUUCUGGCCAUCUAUGAGCUUCAGCCUCUGAAAGUGCACCCCUUGGUGUUCGCACCUGGGGUCCCUGUCACAGCCCAGGUGGUGGGCACCGAAAGAUAUACCAGCGGAUCCAAGGUGGCCAGACUGGCCCCAGGGAGGGGGAAAGGGAGGGCGGCCCGGAAUGGAUCCAAGGUGGCUCGGCUGGCCCCAGGGAAGGGGGAAAGGGAGGGCUGGCCAGAGUGGGGAGGCGGGGACCCACGCAGGGGACAUCCAUUCAGUUCCUCAUACCCCUAGGUGGGAACCUGCACUCUGUAUUCUGUCCGUUUGACUCACGGCGACUUUUCCUGGACAACCAAGAAGAAAUUCCGUCAUUUUCAGGAGCUGCAUCGGGACCUCCUGAGACACAAAGUCUUGAUGAGUCUGCUCCCUCUGGCUCGUUUUGCCGUUGCCUAUUCU
This 596-nucleotide small RNA is filed under the name Pongo abelii (Sumatran orangutan). RNAcentral's name for it is "retained intron". Lineage: Eukaryota; Metazoa; Chordata; Mammalia; Primates; Hominidae. The record is from RNAcentral.